GUUUCGCAACCACGUGUGUGUGCAUCUAAAAGAGGAAUAUAUAAAUCGAUUUUCACCGUUUCGCGAUCAAUAUUCGGACGCACCCCGCGGGUUCUCACCCGUAGGGCCACCGAAACUACGGACCAGUCAAUAUGGAACAAAAGAGCGUUUCCGCCACCAUUCCCGGUGGUAAUCCGUGUGACCUGGCAACCGCACUUUCCUGCCGGGAUCUCCUCAAUACCUAAGGUGUCCACGAAAGUUCCACGUGGGAGUCCGUCUCUGUCAAUACCCGUAUCGGUCAACACACACGUGGAUGUGAGUUCAUCCUUACCCAAAACUAUUAAUCAGUCCAGACCUGCACGUUCACCGUGAUGUCGCUAUAUGUGACCGGACAACACUUACGACUGGUUGACGCCCCAGUCAACAAUGUACAUAUAUUUAAAAUAUAAAUUGUCCGUAAAUAUUUGUUUAUAAGCCUAUAUAUCAAUGUUAUAAAUCGUACCUAUUAUCCAUUCUUUCUUAAUGAACAGUUUUUAUG
Molecule: non-coding RNA, 517 nt
Organism: Cinara cedri
Lineage: Eukaryota; Metazoa; Arthropoda; Insecta; Hemiptera; Aphididae
Source: the annotation of a GenBank genome assembly